Molecule: long non-coding RNA, 841 nt
Organism: Sorghum bicolor (sorghum)
Lineage: Eukaryota; Viridiplantae; Streptophyta; Magnoliopsida; Poales; Poaceae
Exons: 2
Source: RefSeq, a predicted model, not a curated record
GGGGGGGGAUUGUAUGGAAUCAACACAUCAUCAGCAUUUGCAAGUUUGCAACUGAAGUUCUGCUGCGCGUCAUUAUACUCCAUCGCCAAGCUGCUGCCACUGCCGUUUCUCUGGAAUCAAUCAUAUUCCUUGGCAGGGUGAAGGCCAGGACAAAAGGUUCAGAUUAAUAGGAACAUGCAGCUUGGAGCCAAGAAGUCUGUGUGGCUAUAUUAUUUUCUGCCACCAAAAAUGACCGAACACAGUUUAUUUUCGAGAGUAUGUAUACCCUGAAGUUGGUAGAGGCACACAAAGAGCCAAACACCUUUGGUCAGAUCCAUGUUGCACUACGGCUACCAGAUGAAUAAGACAGUUUAGCUUGCAUUAGCACGAGGGUCCGCAUGCUUUUCUCUUCCAAACCUUACAGGAAUAUGCCCCCAGUGCUUGCAAUGUUGCUCAGGCUAGGAUGCUGGUUGCGCUGUUCAACAGGAGCUUUGGGACCGCACAUCAGAAGGGCAGGCUUCAGCUGUGCUGGAAGUCCAGACCUUUGAUCUCUGUGUCUGUUUGGACUCCUGUCUGAAAGGAAAUGAGUUUGUGAUUGUUCCAUUAGGGGCAAUUUUUCUUGUAGGAGUUUGCACUGGAGAUCUUUUUUUGUUGGAAGAUUAUUUGUAGAAUGCAACUAUGCACCCGAUUCUUCUAGUAAUUUUUAUCAGGUCGGUGCCUUGUUCAGUUGGCAAAAUUUUGAGAUUUCGGCUGCCGUAGCACUUUCGUUUGUAUUUACACACUUAGUAUGAUUUAUUGGAUGAUGGACUUGUUGGACUCAUUUAUUAUGGUUUAUGUGUGCUAUAUAUGUGGAUUUGCGUGA